This 854-nucleotide ribosomal RNA is filed under the name Limosilactobacillus fermentum. Its description in RNAcentral is "bacterial SSU rRNA". It matches the Rfam family "Bacterial small subunit ribosomal RNA", at positions 31 to 872 of the family's 1533-position model. Lineage: Bacteria; Bacillati; Bacillota; Bacilli; Lactobacillales; Lactobacillaceae. The record is from RNAcentral.
GAACGCGUUGGCCCAAUUGAUUGAUGGUGCUUGCACCUGAUUGAUUUUGGUCGCCAACGAGUGGCGGACGGGUGAGUAACACGUAGGUAACCUGCCCAGAAGCGGGGGACAACAUUUGGAAACAGAUGCUAAUACCGCAUAACAACGUUGUUCGCAUGAACAACGCUUAAAAGAUGGCUUCUCGCUAUCACUUCUGGAUGGACCUGCGGUGCAUUAGCUUGUUGGUGGGGUAAUGGCCUACCAAGGCGAUGAUGCAUAGCCGAGUUGAGAGACUGAUCGGCCACAAUGGGACUGAGACACGGCCCAUACUCCUACGGGAGGCAGCAGUAGGGAAUCUUCCACAAUGGGCGCAAGCCUGAUGGAGCAACACCGCGUGAGUGAAGAAGGGUUUCGGCUCGUAAAGCUCUGUUGUUAAAGAAGAACACGUAUGAGAGUAACUGUUCAUACGUUGACGGUAUUUAACCAGAAAGUCACGGCUAACUACGUGCCAGCAGCCGCGGUAAUACGUAGGUGGCAAGCGUUAUCCGGAUUUAUUGGGCGUAAAGAGAGUGCAGGCGGUUUUCUAAGUCUGAUGUGAAAGCCUUCGGCUUAACCGGAGAAGUGCAUCGGAAACUGGAUAACUUGAGUGCAGAAGAGGGUAGUGGAACUCCAUGUGUAGCGGUGGAAUGCGUAGAUAUAUGGAAGAACACCAGUGGCGAAGGCGGCUACCUGGUCUGCAACUGACGCUGAGACUCGAAAGCAUGGGUAGCGAACAGGAUUAGAUACCCUGGUAGUCCAUGCCGUAAACGAUGAGUGCUAGGUGUUGGGAGGGUUUCCGCCCUUCAGUGCCGGAGCUAACGCAUUAAGCACUCCGC